GAGUUUGAUCGUGGCUCAGAUUGAACGCUGGCGGCGUGCUUAACACAUGCAAGUCGAGCGGUAACAGGCGUAGCAAUACGUGCUGACGAGCGGCGAACGGGUGAGUAAUGCUUCGGAAUCUUCCUCGUAGUGGGGAAUAACCUGGGGAAACUCAGGCUAAUACCGCAUACGAACUACGGUUGAAAGCAGGGGAUCGCAAGACCUUGCGCUAUGAGAUGAGCCGAAGUCGGAUUAGCUAGUUGGUGAGGUAACGGCUCACCAAGGCGACGAUCCGUAGCUGGUCUGAGAGGACGACCAGCCACACUGGGACUGAGACACGGCCCAGACUCCUACGGGAGGCAGCAGUGGGGAAUAUUGGACAAUGGGGGCAACCCUGAUCCAGCGACGCCGCGUGUGUGAAGAAGGCCUGCGGGUUGUAAAGCACUUUUAGUGGGGAUGAAAAGCCGAAGGCUAAUACCUUUCGGUCUUGACCUAACCCAAAGAAAAAGCACCGGCUAACUCUGUGCCAGCCGCCGCCGU
Molecule: ribosomal RNA, 519 nt
Filed under: uncultured Gammaproteobacteria bacterium
Lineage: Bacteria; Pseudomonadati; Pseudomonadota; Gammaproteobacteria
Description: bacterial SSU rRNA
Rfam family: Bacterial small subunit ribosomal RNA
Source: RNAcentral